CGACGAUUUCUGAACCAUGGCCACCCCUGGGUGGGAAGGUCCAAUGAAGCUUUAUUGUGACAAUAAAUCAGCCAUCAAUAUUGCACAAAAUCCAGUGCAACAUGACCGUACAAAACACAUUGAAGUAGAUACGCGGUUUGUUAAAGAGAAGCUGGAUAGUGGCUUAAUUUGUACUCCUUUCAUUCCUACUGAUGAUCAACUUGCAAAUGUGCUCACUAAAAGGCUGUCUAGUGCUGGAUUUCAGAGGUUAACCAGAAAGAUUGG
RNAcentral lists this unclassified non-coding RNA (264 nucleotides) under Hevea brasiliensis (rubber tree). The record is from RNAcentral. Lineage: Eukaryota; Viridiplantae; Streptophyta; Magnoliopsida; Malpighiales; Euphorbiaceae.